RNAcentral lists this ribosomal RNA (2300 nucleotides) under Diptilomiopus sp. GD134. RNAcentral's name for it is "partial small subunit ribosomal RNA". It matches the Rfam family "Eukaryotic small subunit ribosomal RNA". Lineage: Eukaryota; Metazoa; Arthropoda; Arachnida; Trombidiformes; Diptilomiopidae. The record is from RNAcentral. RNAcentral also lists the same sequence under 2 other names.
UGUAAAGUUCAAGCUCCGAUUAUGAGAGCGAAACCGCGAAUGGCUCAUUAAAUCAGUCAUAAUCUACUUGAUUGUUUCCAGUUUAUAUGGAUAACUGUGGUAAUUCUAGAGCUAAUACAUGCACAAAGGGGGCGACUCUUUCGCGAGAGAAGCUCUGCGUUUAUUAGACUAAGACCAAUGAUAGCUUGCUAUCUUGUUCAAGGUGACUCUGAGUAAAUAAUGGGUGAAAGCCCAUGGUGCUGACCUGAUAUACUAAAAAGCCCGCAAGGGUUUGUCAGGCAAAUCAAUCGUGUGUCUGCUCUAUCAACUGUGGAUGGUAGGAUAAUUGCCUACCAUGGUGAUGACGGGUAACGGGGAGUUAGGGCUCGACUCCGGAGAACAAGCCUGAGAAACGGCUAGUAGGACUAAGGUCUGCAGCAGGCGCGAAACUUACACAAUGCUAGAUUACAAUUAGCGAUGUAGUGAAGAAAAAUAACGAUGUAUUUCCAUUUAAACAUGGUAGUACAAUUGGAAUGAGACGACUUUAAAUCAGUUAGUCGAGUAACAAAUGGAGGGCAAGUCUGGUGCCAGCAGCCGCGGUAAUUCCAGCUCCAUUAGCAUACAUUAAAGUUGUUGCGGUUAAAAAGCUCGUAGUUGAAUUUUAGGCGGGCUCUAUUGGGGUGCAAUCGUUAAGGUCCUCUGGUCAUAGGUUCGCCCUAUCCAGUGUGACUGGUUGUCAUCUUCCUAUAGGAACUCGCUGUUUCGUCACUUAAUCGAGUGCGAAGCGGGCUGGAACGAGGGUACGACUCCGGUCUGCCUUGUCUCAGCAUGUUUACCUUGAGAAAAUUAGAGUGCUCACAGCAGGCAGUUGGGGUGUAAAAGCUCCUUUAUGCUUGAAUAAUGUUGCAUGGAAUAAUAGAAUACGGCCUCGGUUCUAUUCUGUUGGUCUUAUAGAACAACAAACAAGUUGGUUAAAGCGAUCAAAAGUCUAUAUGCGAGUGUGGUCUAGAGGUAGCUUUUUAGUUGCUGGCCCAUCUUCCGGUUGCGUCUUGUUGCCUGGGGCCUUAAAAUCUCAGAGCCUUACGUGCCGGCUAGAUGCCUUCUUUUCUAAUUAGCACGCCUCUUUUCCAUCCAAAGCACUCCUUAUACGGCUAGCUUCUAAUCAACUGAGGCAAUGGUUAAAAGAAAUAGUCGCGGCGGCAUCAGUACUGCAUCGUGAGAGGUGAAAUUCUUAGACCGAUGCAAGACUAACUGAAGCGAAAGCGUUUGCCGAGGAUAUUUUCAUUAAUCAAGAACGAAAGUUAGAGGUUCGAAGGCGAUCAGAUACCGCCCUAGUUCUAACCAUAAACGUUGCCAACUAGCAAUUGGGUUGCGAUUCCUUUAAUCGAAGCUUAAAACACUUCGAUCAUUAUGAUCCACCCAGCGGCUCUCGUAGGGAAACCAAAGUGUUUGGGUUCCGGGGGAAGUAUGAUUGCAAAGUUGAAACUUAAAGGAAUUGACGGAAGGGCACCACCAGGAGUGGAGCCUGCGGCUUAAUUUGACUCAACACGGGGAAACUUACUAGAUUAGAACUCUGGAAUGAUUGACAGAUUGAUAGCUCUUUCUUGAUUCAGAGGAUGGUGGUGCAUGGCCGUUCUUGAUUCGUAUUCCGAAACGUCUGCUUAAUUGCGAUAACGAGUGAGACCUCAUCCAACUAACUAGUCGUUUGGUGCGCUGUGGAACGCAAAAGUCUUGGUAGGAUUGGUCCUAGCGGGUUGCUGGUUCGCUAGUGGAUUCGUUAGGCUGCCUAUUUUAGAUGUUCUCUGCUCGCCAGCGGACUUCUUAGAGGGAUAAACGGUGCUUUAGCCGUAAGAAACGAGGCAAUAACAGGUCUGUGAUGCCCUUAGAUACUCUAGGCCGCACGCGUGCUACAAUGGCGUGUGCAGAAAGCUUGUUCGAGGUUUGUCUAGAGAGAACUGGCCAUUUGGUUUGGGCUUGGCCGCAAGGUUGGGCUUAGAUCGGUGGAGAAGUGACUCUAGUUAGCAGGCCGAGAGAAACCGUAGUCGAAAGAUUACGGCAAUCAGAAAUACACGCCGUGAUUUGGGAUUGGGGAUUGCAAUUGUUGCCCAUGAACGAGGAAUUCCCAGUAAGCGCAAUUCAUCAUAUUGCGUUGAUUACGUCCCUGCCCUUUGUACACACCGCCCGUCGCUACUACCGAUUGGAAGUUUUAGUGAGGCAUUUGGACCUGCUUUCCAACGAGGAAGCAAUUCCUCCAGGAUUUGCGGGGAAGUCUGUCGAACUCAAAUUUCUAGAGGAAGUAAAAGUCGUAACAAGGUUUCCGU